GACGAACGCUGGCGGCGUGCUUAACACAUGCAAGUCGAACGGAAAGGCCCUGCUUUUGUGGGGUGCUCGAGUGGCGAACGGGUGAGUAACACGUGAGUAACCUGCCCUUGACUUUGGGAUAACUUCAGGAAACUGGGGCUAAUACCGGAUAGGAUCUCCUGCUGCAUGGUGGGGGUUGGAAAGUUUCGGCCGUUGGGGAUGGACUCGCGGCUUAUCAGCUUGUUGGUGGGGUAGUGGCUUACCAAGGCUUUGACGGGUAGCCGGCCUGGGAGGGUGACCGGCCACAAUGGGACUGAGAGACGGCCCAGACGCGUACGGGAGGCAGCAGGGGGGAAUAUUGCACAAUGGGCGGAAGCGUGAUGCAGCAACGCCGCGUGCGGGAUGACGGCCUUCGAGUUGUAAACCGAUUUGGCCUGUGACGAAGCGUGAGUGACGGUAAUGGGUAAAGAAGCACCGGCUAACUACGUG
This 468-nucleotide ribosomal RNA is filed under the name uncultured bacterium. RNAcentral's name for it is "partial 16S ribosomal RNA". It matches the Rfam family "Bacterial small subunit ribosomal RNA", at positions 28 to 507 of the family's 1533-position model. The record is from RNAcentral.